Molecule: long non-coding RNA, 675 nt
Filed under: Homo sapiens (human)
Lineage: Eukaryota; Metazoa; Chordata; Mammalia; Primates; Hominidae
Description: HSALNT0194775
Source: RNAcentral
AGUUACGUAUGAGCCAAAUAGCAUGGGCUCUCUCUCAUCAAUGCUCAUCUAGCUGCUGCCAAUAUCAAACGUCUGACCUGCCAGCAACAGAGACCAUUCCUGAGCUCUGGUCUUUGACCAGCAAUGUGCUUAGGGAUCUCAGGAUCAGAAGCCAGACCAGCCAGAAUCCUCAGUACUCAAGAGCUUUAAGACCUUAUGCCAGAGCCCAAUGUUACUCCAAAACCUUGGCAAGAAAGGUGCACUGAGAUUUCAAACUCCGGAAUCUAUCUCUACCCUUUGUCUGAUUGGGAAGUGCUUUGAGACUGCAAGCCUAGGUUCUUUGCCUGCUUCUUUCCAGGACCUCACAUGUCCCAAUUUGCCUGGGAUAGUGUCAAUUUAAACCAUUUGUCUUGGUGUUUAAAUGUUAUGAUAGUCUGUUUCUCUCAAAUUUGGAUAAAAAACUAUGUAGUCACCUUACUGAUGAACAAAGUGCUGUGCAGACUUAACCCAGGAUUCUAUUUACCCACAAUUGCUAAGUAAUAAAUUAUUCUAAAAUCUUAGUAUCAGGUUUUUUUUUUUUCUAUUCACAUACUCCUAUCACUAAAACAGUAUUUGUGUGCAAAAGCCAUUAUCUUGAGAUGUGGCCAUAGUUGAACAUUAGCUGAUACAGUUUUAUCUUCUUGUGCCACUUGGAAC